AGGGGGGAGGUGGCGUGCCCCCCUGGGUCUGUGGGGAGUUGGGUGGGACGUGUUUUAUGGGCAAAAACACGUCGUUUUGAGUAGGAUUUCCACCCACACAGACUCUAGCCAGAGCGUGGCGGCUCAAGUCAGAAAGCGUCCUUGGCCCCGUAUUAUCGAAAAAUCUGGUUUAACGUAUCCGUACGAGGAUCAGCAGGAUUUCGGUGUAUUUGCCUCGUUACAAUAGAUGAUUUGAGCUUCGCCACGUUGAACGUGUUUCUCUGCCUACAUCCAGGACGGCGUGGAGUCGUUGCCCGGUCGCGUAAAUGUUCCCAGUCGGCAUGAUUCCCCAAAAAGGUGAUUGCUGCGUUAUGUUUUUCGUGUUCCAUAUGGGCAACUUCUCCCUGUUCUAUCCGGGUGGACAGUCGGUGUUUACAUGUUCGAGCCGAGUCCCUUCUAAGAAAGCUCUCCGGAUCAGAAAGUGUCGUAGAACGGUGUGUUGCCUUCUCUCCACAGUCUGUGGUAGGAUACGCAACACGCUGGACCGAUGCUAGAUGGGGAAGGAGAGCGUGGCACCGAGUCCCUUCAGAGAAAGCUCUCCGGAUCAGAAAGUGUCGUAGAACGGUGUGUUGCCUUCUCCCCACAGUCUGUGGUAGGAUACGCAACACGCUGGACCGAUGCUAGUAGGGGAAGGAGAGCGUGGCACCGAGUCCCUUCAGAGAAAGCUCUCCGGAUCAGAAAGUGUCGUACAACGGUGUGUUGCCUUCUCCCCACAGUCUGUGGUACGAUACGCAACACGCUGGAGCGAUGCUAGAUGGGGAAGGAGAGCGUAGCCCCUGUGACGGUAAUUGUUGCCGAUGUAACACCCGCGCGCUGUGGACACUCAGGACGCCUUCAUGCAAGCGAUUCUCCCAUGCUAUGCGUGGGAGGAGGCUUGGUAGGUUAGACUGCUGUGGCUACGCGAGCGCAUGAGUAGCUUUGGACCCGUGUCUGUUGGUAGAUCCCCCGUCCUCGUGCGGCCGACUACCGACGCCGUGUCCCAUCAUUCGUGUGGCUUAUGUUACAGUCGCCUUUCAAGUGCUUGCGUGCAUGUACCCGACCUACGGGAAGUGGUGCUUCGUACAUGUUUGCCUCGCGGCGGACACCUUCGGGUGUACCGUUGUGGCCUAAUGGCGCUUGCGGCGUUUCCUCGUGGUGCUGGCAUGUUUUUUGCUCGGUGCUAUCAAGGAAGCCUCGUUAUCGCUGUUGGUUUCGGAUGCUGCUCAUGAUAAAGGCUCAUGGCCCUUUUGGUGCCUAGAACCGACACAGAAGCUAUCUGGAUCAGAACGUGUCGUAGAACGGGAUGUUGCCUCUACCUCUCCACAGUUAGUGGUAGGAUACGCAGCAGGCUGGACCGAUGCUAGUAGGAGAAGGAAAGCUUAGCCCGCUCAAUUGCGACAACCGGCUCGGCCGUUGUCUGCCUGCAAGGGCGGAUUGCUACCGAUGCUGGACGUCAAAGAGGACGUGCU
This 1487-nucleotide unclassified non-coding RNA is filed under the name Avena ventricosa. RNAcentral describes it as "external transcribed spacer". The record is from RNAcentral. Lineage: Eukaryota; Viridiplantae; Streptophyta; Magnoliopsida; Poales; Poaceae.